AUGGCCGCCAUCGUGGAGACGCGCAAGCGCUGCGCCGCCGCGUUCCUCGACGAGCCGUCCCCGGCGCCGGCCCACCUCGCCAAGCGCGGCCGCGUCACGCCAUGCGCUGGCUCCAUGGCCCCGGCGCCGCCCACGUCUCUGGUGUUCGACCCGCUCGACGCCCUCCGCCACGUAUUCCCGCACGCCGACCCGAGGGGCCUGGAGGCCUGCUUCGCCGCCUCCGGCCGCGACCUGCACGCCACCGUGCAGGCGUACCACGCCCAUCUGGCCAAGGACGAGCUGGCCUCCCGCCUCGCACACGCGGCGGGCGAUGACGAGUGCUGCGCCGGCUUGCUCUUGGAGCAGAUGGCGGCGGCGACCAACGUGCCGGACGCCAAGAACCGGGCGACUUGGAUGCUGGGGGUGAUCAGGAACGCCGGAGCAGAGCGCGCCGUGCGGGAGGCCGCGACGGAGCUGGCAAGGCUGCGCGAGGAGAACGCCGCGCUGAGGGAGCAGGCGGAGCGCAGCGCGACGGAGGGGGCGACACUGCGCGAGGAGAACGCGGCGCUGGCGCAGCGUGCAGCAGCGGCGGAGCCCGACGGCUCGGUGCUUAAGCGCGGCGUCAUGGUGCAGCAGAGGCGGUACGAGGAGACGGAGCGCGCCGCGGCGGCGAUGAAGAAGAAGGUGGCCGAGCUGGAGAUGGCCAACUACGAGCUCGGACUCUGGCUGCGCGACGCCGAGGCCAGCCGCUUCCUGGCGGCCUACCGUGGCCCCGACGUGUUCUAG
Molecule: ribosomal RNA, 765 nt
Filed under: Triticum aestivum (bread wheat)
Lineage: Eukaryota; Viridiplantae; Streptophyta; Magnoliopsida; Poales; Poaceae
Description: partial small subunit ribosomal RNA
Source: RNAcentral